GGAAAGAAAAUGUAUGUGAGCUUUGAACACUCAGUCUUCUCACACCCUCCCCCACCCCUUUUGAGAGGAUAACCCUGCCUGAAGCAGGCCUGCAAGCUCAGAAGUAGGUAGGGUAGAGGCCAGAGAAUUAGUUAAAGGCCAGACUUUGUUUGCUACUUGAGACCUUAUUUGUCAAGCUCUGAGACCUUAUUUACAUAAACAAACAAACAACUGUGUAGGAGAAAGGAGUUUACUAAGGAUCGAACGCAUCAAACGCUUAGCUUCAGAGUCUUAGGACUCUUAGUCCUCCUUUGUUAUUUCUAGCCUAUCUUUUUCUAGAUCAUCGAGUAUGCUCUUCCCUGUGAUUAACAUCAAGUUUGUGCCGGGCCGGCCGGGCUGUUGGUGGAUGCUUUCUGUACAAUUUCAGGAGGCUGAGGCAGAAAGACUACAUGUUUGGGAUAGGCCUGGGAAUACCCUUUUUAAACCACAUCCCAAAUGCAAUUAUAAAAUAGCUGAGGAUGUUGGCCAGAGAUAAAUGCUUACCUUGUCUGGCCUGCCUGAGGCCCAAGCAUCAGUUCUUCAGAGACACAGAAAACGAGACAAAAGAGCACGAACACUUAGAGCAAGGGAGGUAGGGCCUAUGGUAGCCCAGUCUAGUCUUGGGCUAAGUAGGGGGAGAUGACCUUGAACUCCAGAUCCUCCGGCUUCAAACUCCCAGUUGCUGGAAUUACAGGAAUUGCUGUAAUUAUCUUGCCCGGCUCUGGCAACUGAUGUCUGGAUUCGCUAUGGAGAAAUGCCAUAUUAAAGUGUUGAAACAAUUUGCUUCUCUUUCUUUAGACUAUAAGCUUUCACAUUUAGCUGUUAUUUCUUCAGAUGUUAUGUAACAGAUGGCUAUAAAAGAAACUUCUGGCUUCCUUAGCAUAGUUAUAUUUCAGAUUUUACCGUGUCUUAGCAUGCUCCCUUAUUUCAUGCUUGCCUUUGGCUUAAGAGAGUGAAGUAUCUUCAGUGAGGUUAUCUGUACACUUGAUCUAGAUAUAUGUCUCAAGUUCCCACUCCUUAGUGGGUAAAAGGUAACAGCACUGUCGGGGAGGGAAACACAGUGAUGUGUGCCAAGACUGGUAUCUGUCAUGAGAAGACAGAGAACCCCUCAAGGGCUCCAGGUCAGGAAUGUGGUGCCAGAUCUCUGACGUGAGUUAUUCAUUUGUUCCUCAACUGGAAACUGCACAGUAACCAACCAAGAGGAGAGAUGGGUUAGUGAGCUGCCCAGAUCGGGCACUCAGGCUGUGAAGGUUGCAGAGCUGGGAGAGAAAGUCAGAUUAUCUAACUCUAAAACCUGUGCCUAGGGGACGGAUUGUGGAAUGAGGGGCAGGGAGCUGGAUAUAAAGUAAAUAAAUUGAAUGAAUAAAUAAAUAAAUAAAUAAAUAAACCAGUGCCCUUACUGGGUGUGGAAGAAGAAAACCCAUUCAAGGUCACCCUCAGCUGGAGGGGCAGGGAGCGGGAUAUAAAGUAAAUAAAUAAAUAAAUAAAUAAAUAAAUAAAUAAAUAAAACCAGUGCCCUUACUGGAUGUGGAAGAAGAAAACCCAUUCAAGGUCACCCUCAGCUGCAUAGCAAGUUCCUGGGAAACCUGGACCAUGUAAAAUUCUGUCUUAUAAACAAACAGGGCUGGAGAGAUGGCUCAGCAGUUAAGAACACUGACUGCUCUUCCAAAGGUCCCGAGUUCAAAUCCCAGCAACCACAUGGUGGCUCACAACCAUCUAUAAUGAGAUCUGAUGCCCUCUUCCGAGGUGUCUGAAGACAGCUACAGUGUACUUACGUAUAACAAAUAAAUAAUAAAUCUAAAAAACAAACAAACAAACAACAAACACCUAAAUCAGGGCCAUCAUGGUGAGGCUGAGAUGACUUUGCCCCACCUGCCUGUUAUCUGGAGUUCAAUCCGAAGAGGGAAGGAGAGAACUAACUGCAUACACUUGUCCUGUGACCUCCACAUGUGCCAUGUCGAGAAACAGGUGGCAACACACGUGUUAACCCAGCACUGGGGGAGUAAAGACGGAAGGACCCCUGGGGCUUGCUGGCUAACCGGGCAAGUGACAAGUCCAGUGAAGAGAUCUUGUCUCAAGAAAGAAGAAGAGUUGAGUGUAAUGAAGAACACUCAAAAGUUCCCCUCAGACUUCCCCCAUGCACACACAAAGUGUGCCCCGGCACCCACAGGUGCGCAUAUGAACAUACAGGAACCCUCCCACCACACGUGGUCUGAAACCUGUGCUCUGCCAUGCACAGUGUAUCUUCUUUUCUAAGAGUUCCUUAACACCACAGCCUUUCAGUAAGAUUCCAGAUUGUUUGUUUUUAUAAGCAAUGAUGUCUCUUUCAGCAGACGGUGGAACUGGUAAACUUCGAAGCGAGCAGAUGGUACCGUCUGCCCAUCACAGAGCUAAGAGAGCUAUCUGGGGCUAAGCUUGCCACUUAACAGGUGCUACACUGUGGAAUAAAUGUGUGUUGCUUAUGCCAUCACAUGACUGGCUAGCUGGACUCCGUCAGGUCUUUAUUUUUUGGGUUUCUCUUGGGCUGCUUUGGUCUUUGCAAAACAAAGGUAUGAAACUAUCUUAGUUAGGGUUUCAAUGCUGUGAACAGACAUCACGACCAAGGCAACUUUUAUAAAAGACGUUUAAUUGGGGCUGGCUUACUGGUUCUGAGGUUCAGUCCUUUAUCAUCAUGACAGCAUCCAGGUAGGCAUGGCUCUGGAGGAGGAGCUGAGAGUUCUACAUCUUGUUCUGAAGGCAAACAGGAGAAGACUGUCUUGCAAGCAGCUACGAGGAGGGUCUCAAAGCCCAUCCCCACAGUGACACCCUUCCUCCAACAGGUCCACAUCUCCCAACAGUGCUACUACCUAUGGGCCAUUCAUAUUCAAAACCACCACAGACACUUAGUGUUUGUGUCAUUAAACAUUUAAUGAGAGAGGAGGGAAAAUACCUUUCAAGGCAAAAUAGAGUCUUAGCAACAAUACAGAUGGUGAAAAUUGUACCUCUUAGUUUUAUUUGAAAUCAGGCUGUCUUUAUAUCCCAUCCCCCUGGCUGGCCUACAACUUGCUUUUUAGACCAGAUUGGCCUCAAACUUGCUAAAAAGUCUGCCAUCUCCACUUCCAAGUACUAGGAUCUAUCGAAAUCUGCUAUCAUAUCUGGCUAUAAAUUGACAUUAUAUAUUUUCAUUGGUUUGAAACUUUUCUUAGGGCCAGAGAUUAUACCAGGACCCUAAACAUGUCCAGUGAGGAGCCUUGUCAAUGCUAGGCAAAUGUUCUACCUCUGAAUCAUUCUGAAAAAUCCUUGUGAUGAACUGUUGUAAGACCUCCCUGGAGAGGCAGAAGAGAAAUAGCUGUUUAUCUCAAAUAGACCAGGAACAGAGAAACCUAAGAAACUUACCAUGCCUACCUUGGUGAAAUAAGUGAACCUGUUGGGGUUCCAGGAGCCUGAGUGACCCACGAACAAGCUAUACCACCAAAGGGUCCCAUCCCCAUUGAAUUUCUAUCUCCUCCUAUUCUUUAGUAUUUUUGAGAUCACACAUAUAUGAACAGGAAGGAGUAGUGCAUAAAACCUCAGAAAAGCAUAAGAGGGAUUAUGAUGAUCUCAUGACUCUCACCCUACAGCAAGGGAGCUCCACUCCCAUUGGCUAACUAGCUGUCUGCUGUAUCGUUCUGAAGGCAGAGGUGUCUGCUAGAUUAUCAAAGCUACUGUGCCCAUGAUGGCCAAUGUCAUGUCAAGCCCAGAGCAAAGAAUUCCAUACAAUACUGCUACAACCUAUUGUGGAAUCUGUUAUACUGAGACUGCUGCUCUCUGGUUGUAAUCAUAGCACGGUUAAUGUUUCAUAUAAUUCACCAUGCCAAGGGAAAGCAGUAAGCAGUAGGUAUUAGUCUAUGUGCAGGUCGUAAUUCAAAAUACUGUUGUGAGAGUUACCAUGGGGAUUUUUUUUUUAAAUCAGCAAACUGAAAACAAGAUCACACAAACUAAUUUAUGUUUUACAGAUUUAUGCAAAAGUGUGGCUAUGCACACGGAAGCCAGGUUUGGGGAUACUCCUAUGGCAAGUUGCUUGGUUUGUUUCUCAGUCUACAUUGUACUGUGCUGGUAUCAGAUGGGUCCGAGAGCAUGCAGAACUAUCAGGGAAUUCAGUGAGCUUGUAUUUUUUGGUAUGAGUGUUUCAUUUUAGGUUUUGUCAGUGUCUCUGAUUUAAUUCAGCCCUGUGUGUGCUAGGAAACCCUCUGCCACUAAACUACAUCCUUUUGGUUUGGGUUGGGUUGAGUUGGGUUGUUUUUUUUUUGUUGUUGUUUUUUUUGUUUUGCUUUGUUUUUUUAUACAGGGUUUCUCUGUAUAGCCCUGGCUGUCCUGGAACUCACUUUUGUAGAUCAGGCUGGCCUCAAACUCAGAAAUCUGCCUGCCCCUGCCUCCUGAGUGCUGGGAUUAAAGAAAGGCAUUCGCCACCACGCCCAGCAACCCACUGUUUUUGCCUCCAAGGCCAACAUUAUUUUUUUGUCCAAAUAGUUUAUCAACAUUUUGACAUUGCCAAGCUCCCAUAAGAGUCUUUGGGUUAAAAUGUCGUCCAUGGUACUUUCCUAAUUGGGAUUCUACAUUUUGAAUUCUGAUG
RNAcentral lists this long non-coding RNA (4609 nucleotides) under Mus musculus (house mouse). RNAcentral describes it as "long non-coding RNA chr15:55199518-55204127". The record is from RNAcentral. Lineage: Eukaryota; Metazoa; Chordata; Mammalia; Rodentia; Muridae.